AGCUGUUAAGUUAGUGGGGGGAGGGUACGGGCAGAGCAGGCUUUGGGGACGAUGAAACAACUUCACACGUGUGUCCCUUGGAGCCAGUCCCUGUCCUGAAUACUUUUCAAAUGAAAGCAACCCCAAAGCCUGGAGAAUUGACAGUCCCCUAACUUUUGAGAUGGGGGAACCCUGGGCAAAGGGCUGCCCAAGCUCCUCAGAGCUGCUGCUGAGGAAACAGGUGGAGGGGGCUCAGCCCUUGACUCUCCCCAGCCGGAGAGAGUGGGUGGGUCACUCACUGGCCAGCAGCAAAGUAAGGCGGGAGGGGCGGGUGGGUGACUUGCUAGGAGGAAGAUUAUCCCAACUUCCCACACUGAGGCACUGCCUUUCCUACAUUCAUUUCACAAAUAUUUACUGACUGGCCCUCACCUCCCACCCUCCAUGCUCCAGCCACACUGGCCUCAGGAGGCUCCGACGCCAGGGACGCCAGGCAGCCUCGGAGGUUUGGCCCAGCUGUUCACUCCUCUACCUGGCUGCCUGGAGCGAGUCUCCGUUUGUCGACAGGGUUUCUAGCCCCGCGCCUAGCCCCGCGCCUGCCCCCGCCCCUGCCUCUUGCACUUGCACUUCCUCUGCUGCCCAGCCCUCCGAGGGCCAGAAGGUACCCUACAGACAGCGAUUUGUUCCGUCCAUUGUUUGUCUCCCGCCAGAAGGUGAGCUCGGCAGGCAGGGAGUUUGUCUGGCUUGUUCACUGCUGCGUCCCCCGUGCCUGGGACACGCAGGCCCCCACGGUGCCUCAGUGGACACUUGCAGAAAGAAGAACGAGUGCGCGAGCGCCCCCUACCGCCAGGUCCCCCGCUGGCGUUGGGUGUAGGUGCGGCCAAUGAGACCCGUGCUGCUCAGUAGGGAGUUAGUGGUCCACAGGGGAGCCUCACGAAGGCUGAGACGGUGAGCACAGGGUGGGGUCCCGGGAACCUCUAGGAGAAGCACUGCCCCUAGCCAGUGGAGGCGAGUCGGAAGAGGGGAUGUCAAAGCUGAGACCUGAAGGAUAAGCUGGUGAGGUGUAGGGGCCAAAGAACUUCUGGAUUCAAAGGCCUGGGGGCCAGAGAGGCAGGUGGGAGUGAGGGAGCUGCAGGGGUCCAGCUCAGCCACAAAAAACGUCCUACCUCCACAUUUGGCUGAGAGGCAGGGGUGCUGGGGGGGGGGCGAUGUUGAGGCAGGGAAGGGGCAGGGUCCUCUCUGACUGAGAAAGACCCCUCUGAGUGAACUGGAGUAAGGCUGAAGGCUGGGGAAGAGCUGGGCCAAGGGUCCAGGGGAAGAGGCAGAGGCCAUGGCUGGAGCUUUGGGGAUGGAGAGGAGGGAGACAAUGAAAAGAUACAGCAAGUUGGCAAAAGGGGCAGAACUUGGAGGAAAUGCAGGAGGUGAGGCAGAGGGAGGAACGAAGUUCUCCUUAGAGAUCUGGGGUCAGAUUCUAAAAGCCAGGAAAGGAGAGAGGGCCGGAGAGGAGAGAGGGCCGGAGAGGACGCCAGGGGUGGAGGAAGAGAACCAAGAGGGGACCUCUCGACCAGGACCCCAACCCUAACCUUGGCUGGUAUGUGGCGACUCCACUUAGGUCAGCAGUCCAGAUGUUCCAGAUGUUCUGGGAGCAGUGGUGGAGGGCUCUGGUCAGACCCUGGCUGUGAAGCCUUGGGCCAGCCCCUUCAUUUCUUUUCUCUUGUUUCCUCCUCUGUAAAACAGAUCCUCGGGGACACUCAGGGGCUGAGGAGUUUCAUGAAGCUCCUCAAGGGGGCCCAGAACAGGGUCUGGCUUCGCAAGUGAUGAGCAAGGAUAAGCAGGACUCAAGGCCUGGCUGGUCCAACCCUGUGUGACUGCCAGUUUUCUGCUAGGAGCCUUGCUGUCACUCUAUUUCCUCAUCUGAGAAAUGGGAAUUAAUAGGGUACCACAUGACAAAGGGCUGGGAGGGCGAGGGGCUAAGGGACACAGGAAGGCCUGACAGCAGCAGCUGUCUGCCAGCUGGUAUAGAACUGUUUCAUGAUCUACUGAGUUGCUGUCCAAAGGAAAGCUCUGCAACUAUGGAAAUGCUCUCUCUAUAUCGUCCACUAUGGUAGCCAUGAGCAUGUGUGGCUAGUGAGCACUUGCUGGGUGGUGAGUGACUGAGGAAUUGAAUUAAUUUAAUUUAAAUUAAUCUAAAUGUCACUGGCCACACGUGGCUGUGGCUGCAGUGAUUAUGGUAUUGGACAGUGUGAUUCUAACUACUGAUACGGCUGUCCCAUGUGUCUGGCUGGACCCCAGUCCUGCUUGAAACUGGUUCUGCCUGAGUCCCCAAAGCUCGGGGUCCUUCUGCUCUUAUGGGAUCCUCCAGGAACCAAGGAGAUCAGCUCUGGAGAAAUGAGCUUUACUGAGGGUAAGAGGCCCAGGAGCCAGGCCAGCUCUGCCUGUGUCAUCUGAGGCCUGCAGAAAAGGAGCUACAGGAGCUCCACUUUAGUGGAAGGGCAUACUGAGGCCUGGUGACAUCCUUGCUGUACCCAUGAACACCCAGACCCGGCACGCUCCAAGUUGGAAGCUCGAUCUCCAGGCCCCUGUAUUCUGUGUACACGCUGUGAUUCUGUGAGGCUCUGGGAUGUGUGGGCAGUGUCACACUGCUGAAUCGAAUCUACUUGGGAGAGACCUAGGGCCUGGUCUGGUAUGGGAGGUUUUCAAAACAGGUCACUGGCAAGCCUCUGGCAGGGGUGUGUGAGGUGAGUUUGCAGGUGGGAGGAAUGCAGUGCAAGCCAGUUUGACUGUGGUCUCCCUGUUUCCUUCUCCCCUUAUACCCCGGAAAGGGCAAUUUUGCAAUUCAUUUUCGACCUCAGGAUAGAACUAACCAUCUUUAUAGUUAACAUACUAACUUAUAGUUAACUGCAUAACUAACUUUAAAAAGUUGAGGGGGGGCGGGGAGAUGUACACUAGAAGUAAUAAAGAGUGGAAAACCAUUGAAACUGGAGCAGUGUCUCUCGGACAUCCGGACAUCCACGUGUGUCCAGAUACCUGGGAUCUUGCUGAAGUGCAAAUUCUGAUGGGGGUGGGGACAGUCUGGGUGCAGCUGAGGGGCCUCCUUUCCUGGGGCUGCUGGUCCUGGAGCACCCUUGCACUCCAUUUCAGGAUGAAUCACGAACUCUCCUCCUCCCUCUCCACUUCUCUGAGGAAGAGAGUGCUUAAGGGUGAGCUAGACCCUGGUGAGAACCUCAACUGCCACAAUUGCCAGCCAUGGAGCCUUGGAAAGGGAUAGCAGUGCUUGGGGCCUCAGUUUGCUCAUCUGUGAAAUGGGGAAAACAGCUAAUCUUCCUUCAGGGGUGGUGAAGACUCAUUGGUCUGAUGUCUGUGAUGGGUUCGGCGCAGUGCCUGGCACACAGACAACUCUCGCUGAAAUGAUUCUCUAACUGUGAACAUCCUCCUCCUCCUCCUCCGUGCCAUCACACCAUCAUUCUAGGAUGAUGGAGAGCUGGAAAGAGUGCUGGUGUCCUGGAAAGUUGGGUUCAAACUCUGACUUGCCACUUGCUCACUGUGGUCUCCCUCCUGUCCCUGCCAGGCUCUGUCCGUGUAAUGACACCCAGCUUGGUGGGAACUGAUGGUGACACGUCCAGUGCUGGGCACUUAGAUGACAGUGAUGUUAAAAGUUAUUUAUUCUGGGAUGCCUGGGGUAGCUCAGUGGUUUGGCGCCUGCCUUUGGCUCAGGGCGUGAUCCCAGGAUCUGGACAAGCCCAUAUCGGGCUCCUUGCAUGAAGCCUGCUUCUCCCUCUGCCUAGGUCUCUACCUCUCUCUCCCUCUCUCUCUGUCUCUCUCUGUCUCUCAUGAAUGAAUAAAUAAAUAAAAUCAUUUUUAAAAAGUUAUUUAUUCUCACUGGAUCAGAAGAACAAAUCUCUUCCUCAUUCUAUGACUCAAUCUCCCCCCUUCCCAUAUGUAAAUCUAACAUUUCUGGCUGGAUCAUUUAUCAGGGAGUGGAGGGACCAUUGAAUCACCUGAGGAAUCUGUCCCUGCCCCACCAGCUAGACAUGGACUGGACACCCUGUACCUGGCAAGGAAAGCCCACUGUGAGAAUCGAGGUGGGUGGGUCCUUUCCCCUGGGGGCAUGAACAAGACUAAGGGGCAGGGAGUCCCUGCAUUACAGGAACCCUAAUGUCUCUUUUAAAGUCUAACCUUCUGUGAGUCUACUGUUAUUAACAAUCUGAUUAUUGUUAUGAUUAGCAAUCCCAAUUUCUACUUAGAGGGCCCUAUGGAUGCACAUUCCCCUCUGGAAAGCAGUGGUCUCAGCUGGGGGAAGCAAUCUACAGGGUGCCACGCCUGGGUUUGCAGUCCCAGCUGAGCCACGUCUUGCCCAGCUGUUGACAUUGGGCAAGGGGCCUCAUCAUUCUGAGCCUCAGUGUCCCUGUAUGUCCAACUAGGGAUGACAACUGUGCUUCCCUUGGAGGUCCACCGUGAGGAGUAAAUGGGACAGAUCCACACAGAAUGCCAGCACACAGCCUGGCUCAUGGUAAGCUCUCGAUGGAUGUUAGCUCUUAUCAUCUUGAGCCAUGUGUUUGAGGGUUCUAGGCAAGAGGAGGGCAAAUCUCAGCAUUUCCUGCCUGGGAUUUGCCCCUCGGGAGAGCUGGGGCUGGCACUGCUCUCUGACCUUUGUCUCCAUGUUUGAACAAGAUGCUCCAAAGCCUAAGUUCAGCUCCCCAGGCAGGAGAGUGGGCUGGGGGCUUCGUUGGGGAAACAGCUCAGAUGGGAAGGGAGUGGCCUGGGCUGCUGGCCCAGCUCCACCUCCCUCCCUCUCUCCUCCUCUUCUGGGUCAUAUACACGCUUCCACUUCCUACUGGGCCCAGCAUUCUCACACUUGGCAGCCCUCUUGGGGACCCAGUGGUCCCCUGGGAUGGACUCCUGCCUGACCCCCAACUGCAGGGUCCCUUCCCAGCCCAUCUCCCAGGCCUCCUAUGCAGCCCCUCCGCCUCCACCUGCCAUGACAACAGUUGCGCGUGUGGGUUUCCAGGCAACAAGGGGGCAUUUUGCCACUGUUCUUGCUCUUUUGCCACUCCCCUGUCUGGCAGAGCCACGCUACUCUCUGAGACCUGUAAGGGAAGGGAUAGGGGCUUCUGUUCAGUGAGGAUGGAGGGGCCCUAAACUCAGAGAUGAGGAGGUGUCCACACCACCAGAGAGGAAAUGAAAAUGCACUCCUACCGCCUGAAAGGGUGAAGCUGGAGGAACUAAUGCUGGGCCCAACCACUGUAAUGGCCCAACAGCUACCCUUGUCAUCUGCACCCCGACCUGGAGGUGGGGCCAAAUGCAGCCCCUCUGAGAACAGAGCCCCAGGCCUGUCACUCUGCCCCCUGUCCUCUAGGACCUACACCUGGACCAGAUGAACUUCCAAAUAUUCACCUGUCCCCCAACACACAGAGAAACUACCCCUGCCUGGGCUACAGUUCCACACUAGGGGGACAAGUGUGGGGUCUGUGGCCCUCCCCAGCUGUUAGCCAGCUCAGCACAGGCUGUAACACCGAGUCUAGAACCCUGCAAGGGGCCCUGCAAGGGGUGGGUUCGAAGCUGACCCUGGCUGUGGAGAACUUGUAUGUGCCGUGUAUGUGGUUGUGAAUUUAUACUUUGGCAUGGCAGGGGGCAGGUUAGCUGAAGCAGGGCCUCUGAGCUAGGGCAAAACUGCCAGGGGUGGGGGGAUGAUGGGGCAAGAGGGACAGGCAGGCAAAGCCCAUGGCGGAGGGGCUCAGAUUUUGGAAAGAAACCCAGAGAAGAAGCAGCAAGGAGAGAGUGACAGGGCAAAAAAAAAAAAAAAGAAAAAAAAAAAAAAA
This 5795-nucleotide long non-coding RNA is filed under the name Canis lupus familiaris (dog). Its description in RNAcentral is "lncRNA (ENSCAFG00000059176.1)". The record is from RNAcentral. Lineage: Eukaryota; Metazoa; Chordata; Mammalia; Carnivora; Canidae.